RNAcentral lists this long non-coding RNA (267 nucleotides) under Medicago truncatula (barrel medic). Its description in RNAcentral is "lncRNA gene491". Lineage: Eukaryota; Viridiplantae; Streptophyta; Magnoliopsida; Fabales; Fabaceae. The record is from RNAcentral.
AGUUUCUAUUUGUUUAUUGUUUGUUUUGGUAUGAGAUAUGCCUGUCAAUUUGAUUUUAAGUGAGAGGUUAGUGUAAAUUAAGUUUACGUGUAUGUAUAUAAAAGGGGUUAAUGUAGUUUACGUAUGUAGGUUAAUGUAAAUUCAAGCUUACGUAUGUUCAAUUUAGGUUAAUGUAAAUUCAGUUUACUUACGUUCAAUCUAGGUUAAUGUAAAUUAAGUUUACUUAUGUUCAAUCUAGGUUAAUGUAAAUUCAGUUUACUUACGUUC